RNAcentral lists this long non-coding RNA (239 nucleotides) under Elaeis guineensis (African oil palm). Its description in RNAcentral is "long non-coding RNA (EGUI_LNC066633)". The record is from RNAcentral. Lineage: Eukaryota; Viridiplantae; Streptophyta; Magnoliopsida; Arecales; Arecaceae.
UGUACUUAUUCUAAGCAUUUCUAUUUUAUUUUAGACUCAUUUAUAUUUAUUCUAAAGAUAUUUAUAUUUAUCCUAUUCGAAGUUUAUGUUUAUCCCACAUAGUUUAUAUUUAUCAUGGGGAGACAAAAAGUGGCCUAUUCCAUCCAUUCAUAUUAACGAUCAUCAUUAAUAUGGAUGGAAUAGGCUACUUUCCAUCCUUCCUUGAUAAAUAUAAACUAUAUAGGAUAAACACAAGCAAU